RNAcentral lists this long non-coding RNA (1291 nucleotides) under Equus caballus (horse). Its description in RNAcentral is "lncRNA (ENSECAG00000050545.1)". The record is from RNAcentral. Lineage: Eukaryota; Metazoa; Chordata; Mammalia; Perissodactyla; Equidae.
CUUGACCUUGUCCUGUCAGAAGCCAAGGGGAGUGCCUGCACUUGAAGAGGAAGCUUUGAGCACAGCGUUUCUUACAUGGGAGGGGCCUCAGUCCAAUGAGUGGUGUCCUCAGAAGAGGAGAGGACACAGAGAGACAGAGAGAAGGCCAUACGAAGAAGAAGGUGGAGAUUGGAGUGACGCUGCCACAACCCGGGAUGCCUGGGACCACCGAAAUUUGGAAGAGGCAAGGAAGGGUCCCCCUCUAGAGCCUUCUGAGGGAGUAUGACCCUGUUGACACCUUGAUUUCAGACUUCCGGCUUCCAGACGCAGCACAGGACUUUGCAACAAAGGACAACGGCUUUGCCAAGGACCGAAGACUGAGUCACUGCUACGGUCCUGGAGAGAAGAGACAGAGAUCAGAGGAGAUCCACGCACAUGAACAAUUUUUUAAGUAAUUCUAAUAACAGAGUUUCUAUCAUACAUUUUUGCCUGAGGAUUUUCACCUGUAUGGAUUCACUUAAUUCUCACAGUAUCCCUCUGCAGCGGGAGAGGCUUAGGUGUUACAUUCUCAUUUAGCAGAUGAAGAAAUUGAGGCUCAGAGAGGAUUACGUAGGUUCUCAUGGGAAAUCAGACAUGAUUCUCAAACUGAAAGUAAUGCUAAUAACACUGUAUCAUCCAGGCUCCCAGCAGGAAACACACAGCACCCUUCAAAGAGGUGAUUCAUGGGAGUAUAAUGAAGGGACUAUUUACAAAGGUGUGCACAGGGUUAAGGGAAACCAGGAUGGGCUAGCGAAGCAUCCCAGGCUAAGCAAGAGCAAGAAAGCUCCUGCUACCCAUAGGCCUGGAGGGGCAAAGAGAUGGAGGGAGCAGUUGCUGGAACUCUGGUGAGAGCUGUGCCCGCAGGAGAGGGCCGCCAGGCAGGAGCCAUUGCCAAGGAAUGAACACCCCAUCGCUCUUUCCUCUCACCCCCUCCCAUUUCUUGUUGGUGCCUCCCAUUGGCCAAAUCCAACUGGAAGCCAGAGGGCAACUACACCCAGAGUAUGCAGUCCGGGAGGUCAGGUUGCCACGGCCGAGAGCCAAACCAGCGGGGAAGAGCGUGGAGCAGAUCUGAGGGGCACAGAAAACCCAUCUAUGAUCUGCUGUGCACUUAUUGCUUGGUGAACACCAUACAAGGGGACUUCCAGGAGGGUCUUGUGCAAGCCUCGCUAUAAUCUUGUGUAGUAGAUAUGAAACCUCAGGCUGACAAUUGACGUGGGUAAAAAUGGAAACUUUGCUUUCUGUAAUUUAAUUUAGUUUCUGUAUGGAGCCUCCC